This 373-nucleotide ribosomal RNA is filed under the name uncultured organism. RNAcentral describes it as "partial 16S ribosomal RNA". It matches the Rfam family "Bacterial small subunit ribosomal RNA", at positions 527 to 896 of the family's 1533-position model. The record is from RNAcentral.
GUAGGUGGCAAGCGUUGUCCGGAAUUAUUGGGCGUAAAGCGCGCGCAGGCGGUUCUUUAAGUCUGAUGUGAAAGCCCACGGCUCAACCGUGGAGGGUCAUUGGAAACUGGAGAACUUGAGUACAGAAGAGGAAAGCGGAAUUCCACGUGUAGCGGUGAAAUGCGUAGAGAUGUGGAGGAACACCAGUGGCGAAGGCGGCUUUCUGGUCUGUAACUGACGCUGAGGCGCGAAAGCGUGGGGAGCAAACAGGGAUUAGAUACCCUGGUAGUCCACGCCGUAAACGAUGAGUGCUAAGUGUUAGGGGGGUUUCCGCCCCCUUAGUGCUGCAGCUAACGCAUUAAGCACUCCGCCUGGGGAUACGGCCGCAAGGUUG